Non-coding RNA from Bos taurus (domestic cattle), 138 nucleotides. The record is from Rfam. Lineage: Eukaryota; Metazoa; Chordata; Mammalia; Artiodactyla; Bovidae.
CGGAGGACUGAGAAGGUGAGGCAGUUCUGAACCAUGCUGCCUUCCACUGGUUAAGACCUCCGAGAGCGAAGGCCUGCAGAGGCAGAGGAAGUCCCUCUGCCGCCCCCAGAGGGGCAGCACUGUGUUGGCCGACACUUG